Molecule: ribosomal RNA, 453 nt
Filed under: uncultured bacterium
Lineage: Bacteria
Description: bacterial SSU rRNA
Rfam family: Bacterial small subunit ribosomal RNA
Source: RNAcentral
AGCGAACGCUGGCGGCAGGCCUAACACAUGCAAGUCGAACGGAUCCUUCGGGAUUAGUGGCGGACGGGUGAGUAACACGUGGGAACGUGCCUUUUGGUUCGGAACAACUCAGGGAAACUUGAGCUAAUACCGGAUAAGCCUUUCGAGGGAAAGAUUUAUCGCCAUUAGAGCGGCCCGCGUAGGAUUAGCUAGUUGGUGGGGUAAAGGCCCACCAAGGCUACGAUCCUUAGCUGGUCUGAGAGGAUGAUCAGCCACAUUGGGACUGAGACACGGCCCAAACUCCUACGGGAGGCAGCAGUGGGGAAUAUUGGUCAAUGGACGCAAGUCUGAACCAGCCAUGCCGCGUGAAGGAUGACGGCCCUCUGGGUUGUAAACUUCUUUUAUCUGGGACGAAAAAAGGUCAUUCUUGAUCACUUGACGGUACCAGAGGAAUAAGCACCGGCUAACUCCGUG